ACUCCUACGGGAGGCAGCAGUGGGAAUAUUGGACAAUGGGGCAACCCGUGAUCCAGCAAUGCCGCGUGUGUGAAGAAGGCCUGAGGGUUGUAAAGCACUUUCAGUAGUGAGGAAAGGUUCUUGUUUAAGAGAUGAGAGCUGUGACGUUAGCUACAAAAGCAGCACCGGCUAACUCCGUGCCAGCAGCCGCGGUAAUACGGAGGGUGCAAGCGUUAAUCGGAAUUACUGGGCGUAAAGGGCGCGUAGGUUG
This 250-nucleotide ribosomal RNA is filed under the name uncultured bacterium. RNAcentral's name for it is "partial 16S ribosomal RNA". It matches the Rfam family "Bacterial small subunit ribosomal RNA", at positions 335 to 578 of the family's 1533-position model. The record is from RNAcentral.